This 2961-nucleotide long non-coding RNA is filed under the name Sus scrofa (pig). RNAcentral describes it as "lncRNA (ENSSSCG00060075517.1)". Lineage: Eukaryota; Metazoa; Chordata; Mammalia; Artiodactyla; Suidae. The record is from RNAcentral.
AGGGAAGAGCUCCUUCUGAGAGAGACGAGCAGGAAAAAGCUCUGUCAAAUCCUGUGGAGAGAGAUUGGAGUUAGAAGAGGGUUGAGAGGGAAUGGCAUUCCUGACCGAAAGGAGACCUGAGCUUCUGAAUCUUGACUUGAGAAGACAGUCCCUGCCUUUCCUCCUGGUUGCAGACUUGCUAUCCUGACUUCUCCAGACCCACAUUGGCUCAGGCUGGAGUGGUGACAUCAGUUUGGAGUUCUUGCUGUUGCAGAGAACUUAGGGAGGCCUUGUCUGACCACUGGCCAGACUUCGGAACAGCCUGACCCCUAAAAGGCAAUUUGAGUGAAGAGCCACUUGUUUAGGAAAAGCUGCAAAGACCACACCCACCUGAGAAGCUAUAAGAAUGCUCCCAGCUGAGGGCAUGAGGACAUCGCCUUGCUGAAGAUGCUGAGGACAGAGCGGGGAGAGGAUACCGAGGUAUAAUAGGGCCCUGCUGGGUUUGUGCUGGGGUCAGGGCCGAAUCCCUGUGCUUCGAGGAGGUGAGUUCUGCUGACAAUCAUCAGGUGAAGAGGUUGAUCUAUUGGUCUGAAAAACAAGCUUGCAGAUAACUUGGCUCCGAGUUUCGCCACUUCCAUGCUGCCUGCCAGGAGCAAGCUGUUCCUUCUUAGGAACUCUGACCCAGAGAUGGAUGGAAAAAACCCUUGCUCUUAGUUUCUCUCACCACAGCUAAGUUAAAUCCUGUGUGAAGACUCCACUGGUGUUAAGAGAGAACAAGAGCGAAAUGACCGCAGAGGUUAUUAUGUAGUGCAUUUAUUUAAUCCCUCCUUUCUCCUCUCUAUCCCCGAACCACCUCUUACCACUUGCUUUGUCUCCCAUCUGGACUCCUGUAGCACUAAGCAAUUUGUUUGCCUAUAUCUACCUGUCCCCUCGUGCCAGCCUGCAGACCACAUCUGAUCUCUGUUUAAAAUUCAUCCAUGCCCUGGAGUUCCUGUCCUAGCUCAGCAGAAACGAAUCUGACUAGUAUCCAUGAGGACGAAGUUUCAAUCCCUGGCCUUGCUCAGUGUUGCUAUGAGCUGUGGUGCAGGUUGCAUAUGUGGCUUGGAUCUGACAUUGCUGUGCUGUAGGCUGGCAGCUACAGCUCCGAUUCAACCCUUAACCUGGGAACCUCUUUAUGCUGCAGGUGCAGCCCUAAAAAGGCAAAAAAUAAAUUGAUUCAUGCCCUUAGGAACUGACUUUCUAGACUCAUCUCCAGGUCGUCUCCCCAUGUGUCCUCAUGGCAUUUCCCCUCUUUAGACCUUGAGGUCCAGGACAGCAAGGUUACCUCCUUUAACUGAAUUUUCCGUAGCAUCUCUGGUAACACAGGGCACAUAGCAUGUGGGGCCUAGACGUCUGUGGAUUCUAGUUCCUUUGUUCACUGUCAUAAUCAGCACGGCCCUGGCUCCCUUUGCUGAUGGCCUGGCAGAACCAGCCACACAAAGUGUAAUCAACUAAAGGAAGAAAGUUUAUUCUGGAGGAGUAGAAUUUUAAUGUCUUUUUGCCUUUAAGAACAUGCAGUUUCUCUGGAGAAUUAAAUGUGCCAAAGAAAUCAAAAUUUCUUAAGUGUAGGCUAAAGAAAAACUACUUAUUAUUUUCCCCACCAAGUGAAAAUUGUGUCAUUUUUAUUUUCUUCAUGACUAGAAAAUGUCUCUCUAAUAAAACUCAUGUUUUUCUCAAAGUUUUUUUCUCCAAAAGGAUGAUUUCAUCCCACUGGGCUAGAGAGCUUUGUUAAGUAUAACAAUAAAAUACACAAAGAAAAAAAAAAAAACACAACAAUUUUCAGAUCAGGAAAUGUUAAAUGUUUUCAACAAAUGGUUAUCAGGAAAUGUUAUUCCAUAAUCAAAACUUUUCCUGUUUGAUGAUUAUGCCAGGGGGAAAAAUCAUGUGAUGCCACUUAUAAAGUCUUAUAAAAAAGCAUUUUUAUGAUGGGAUAUAUUUAUUUGAAAAAAUCCAUUAUAAGUACCAUGAGAUAAAUUAGAAUUGCCCAGAAUCUUACCUUAAAAAAAAAGUUUUUUAUUCACAUUUAAAAUUUUUUAUUUUUUGCGUUUUAGGGCUGCACCCACAGCACCUGAAGGUUCCCAGGCUAGGGGUUGAUUCGGAGCUACAGCUGCUGUCCUACACCACAGCCACAGCCACAGCCACACCAGAUCCUUAACCCACUAAGUGGAGGCCAGGGAUUGAACCUGCGUCCUCAUGAAUACUAGUUGGAUUCGUUUCUGCUGAGCCACAUGGAAACUCCUAUUAUUCACAUUUAAAUCUAAAUUUAAAUGCUUCUCCAUUUUACCUUCCUCUGUUGCACGAGUUUUACAGUUUUCAUAUUGAUUUUUGUAUUUGAUUUUGUAACUGGCCACAUUACUAAACUCUAGAAUUUCUAAAAGUUUUUCAGUUUAUGUUCUUGGGUUUUUAAGGUAAAUUUCAGUCAUCCCAAAAGUAAAAGCAACUAAGGUGGUGUUUGACCAAGAGAUUCAGGAAAACUCAAAUUCUGCUGCUUGACCUGCUUUCCUCUAAUGUCCCCAAGAAAAGUACACACACACACACACACACACACACACACACACACACACACACAGAGCAAGGCAAGUGAUUAUUAUUAUUGUUUGAUGACUUGCCCUGUGCUCUAAUGAACUCAAGCAGCUUAAGCUACAUCAUUAAAUUAUAUAUGCCUCUGUGACAGAACCAAAAGAGGCUAUAAGACUAGUCCUCGGAGUUCCCAUCAUGGCGCAAUGGAAACGAAUCUGACUAGGAACCAUGAGGUUGCAGGUUCAAUCCCUGGCCUCGCUCAGUGGGUUAAUGAUCUGGCAUCGCCAUGACCUGUGGUGUAGAUCUGCAGAUGCGGCUCAGAUCUGGUGUUGCUGUGGCAUAGGCCAGCAGCUGCAGCUCUGAUUGGACCCCUCGCCUGGGAACGUCUGUAUGCCUCAGGUGCAGCCCUAAAAAGAUUAAAAA